Molecule: long non-coding RNA, 492 nt
Filed under: Brassica napus (rape)
Lineage: Eukaryota; Viridiplantae; Streptophyta; Magnoliopsida; Brassicales; Brassicaceae
Description: long non-coding RNA (BNAP_LNC025321)
Source: RNAcentral
AGUUUAGGAUUUAAGGUUUAGGGUUUAGGGUUUAGAGUUUAGGGUUUAGGGUUUAGACUUUAGGGUUUAGGGUUUAGAGUUGAGAAAUGAGGUUUUGGGGAUAAGAUUUCAAAUUUUGAAAAAUAAAAAAAUUAAAAUUUUCAAAGGAUAAAUUUAGAAAGGUGCUAUUUUGGUCAUUUUAGUUUUUGAGUGCUAUAUUUGUGAUAUAAACUUAAAAAUGUGCUAUUUUGGAGAUUUGCCCUUAAAUAUUUCAUAAGCAAAUUUGUAAAACCAAUAUCAAGAAAAAAAAGAUAUCACAAGUUACGUCAGCUAGAGACCGUUGUAUGAUCACCGAAAAAACAUCAGAUCAUGAAUGUUAUCAUCACGUUGUUUUUGUAUCUGUAAAUGGUUAAAAUUAUCAUUACGUUUGGUACAACGUCUUAGCGGCGGAGUCACAUGAGACAAGACACGUGAUGCUUUCAUGAUCUUACGAACCUUAAUUAAAAAUGAUAC